RNAcentral lists this ribosomal RNA (1344 nucleotides) under uncultured bacterium. RNAcentral describes it as "16S ribosomal RNA". It matches the Rfam family "Bacterial small subunit ribosomal RNA", at positions 28 to 1378 of the family's 1533-position model. The record is from RNAcentral.
GACGAACGCUGGCGGCGUGCUUAACACAUGCAAGUCGAACGGAAAGGCCCUGCUUUUGUGGGGUGCUCGAGUGGCGAACGGGUGAGUAACACGUGAGUAACCUGCCCUUGACUUUGGGAUAACUUCAGGAAACUGGGGCUAAUACCGGAUAGGAGCUCCUGCUGCAUGGUGGGGGUUGGAAAGUUUCGGCGGUUGGGGAUGGACUCGCGGCUUAUCAGCUUGUUGGUGGGGUAGUGGCUUACCAAGGCUUUGACGGGUAGCCGGCCUGAGAGGGUGACCGGCCACAUUGGGACUGAGAUACGGCCCAGACUCCUACGGGAGGCAGCAGUGGGGAAUAUUGCACAAUGGGCGGAAGCCUGAUGCAGCAACGCCGCGUGCGGGAUGACGGCCUUCGGGCUGUAAACCGCUUUCGCCUGUGACGAAGCGUGAGUGACGGUAAUGGGUAAAGAAGCACCGGCUAACUACGUGCCAGCAGCCGCGGUGAUACGUAGGGUGCGAGCGUUGUCCGGAUUUAUUGGGCGUAAAGGGCUCGUAGGUGGUUGAUCGCGUCGGAAGUGUAAUCUUGGGGCUUAACCCUGAGCGUGCUUUCGGUACGGGUUGACUUGAGGAAGGUAGGGGAGAAUGGAAUUCCUGGUGGAGCGGUGGAAUGCGCAGAUAUCAGGAGGAACACCAGUGGCGAAGGGCGGUUCUCUGGGCCUUUCCUGACGCUGAGGAGCGAAAGCGUGGGGAGCGAACAGGCUUAGAUACCCUGGUAGUCCACGCUGUAAACGGUGGGUACUAGGUGUGGGGUCCAUUCCACGGGUUCCGUGCCGUAGCUAACGCUUUAAGUACCCCGCCUGGGGAGUACGGCCGCAAGGCUAAAACUCAAAGGAAUUGACGGGGCCCCGCACAAGCGGCGGAGCAUGCGGAUUAAUUCGAUGCAACGCGUAGAACCUUACCUGGGUUUGACAUGGAUCGGGAGCGCUCAGAGAUGGGUGUGCCUCUUUUGGGGUCGGUUCACAGGUGGUGCAUGGCUGUCGUCAGCUCGUGUCGUGAGAUGUUGGGUUAAGUCCCGCAACGAGCGCAACCCUUGUUCACUGUUGCCAGCACGUUAUGGUGGGGACUCAGUGGAGACCGCCGGGGUCAACUCGGAGGAAGGUGGGGAUGACGUCAAGUCAUCAUGCCCCUUAUGUCCAGGGCUUCACGCAUGCUACAAUGGCUGGUACAGAGAGUGGCGAGCCUGUGAGGGUGAGCGAAUCUCGGAAAGCCGGUCUCAGUUCGGAUUGGGGUCUGCAACUCGACCUCAUGAAGUCGGAGUCGCUAGUAAUCGCAGAUCAGCAACGCUGCGGUGAAUACGUUCCCGGG